CCCUUAGAUGUCCUGGGCCGCACGCGCGCUACACUGAGUGUCUGAGAUACGAGUCUGCCUAGCCGGCGAGGUCUAGGUAAUCGCUGAAAGACACAUCAUGCUUGGGAUAGAUUAUUGCAGAUAUUAAUCUUGAACGAGGAAUUCCUAGUAAGCGCAAGUCAACAGCUUGCGUUGAUUACGUCCCUGCCCUUUGUACACACCGCCCGUCGCUACUACCGAUUGAAUGGCUUAGUGAGCCUUUGGGAUUGGCAGCCAACACCGGCAACGGUAGCUGGCCGCCGAAAACUUAUGCAAACUUGGUCAUUUAGAGGAAGUAAAAGUCGUAACA
RNAcentral lists this ribosomal RNA (328 nucleotides) under uncultured eukaryote. RNAcentral describes it as "partial 18S ribosomal RNA". It matches the Rfam family "Eukaryotic small subunit ribosomal RNA", at positions 1470 to 1796 of the family's 1831-position model. The record is from RNAcentral.